This 386-nucleotide long non-coding RNA is filed under the name Mus pahari (shrew mouse). Its description in RNAcentral is "lncRNA (MGP_PahariEiJ_G0003374.1)". The record is from RNAcentral. Lineage: Eukaryota; Metazoa; Chordata; Mammalia; Rodentia; Muridae.
AGUCAUUGCUAAGGACUCUAUCAAGGACACUGAGAUGGAAAUGCCGGGAGAGCCAGCUGCAAAUCUUGGGCAGACCCUGGAGUGGCUGAGGGAGAAGCUGUGCUAAACCUGAACCCCAGGUCAGCUUCUCCUCUCUCCUCUCCUGCACACAUAUUUGGGGGUGCCUCUUUAUUUUGGGACCUGGAGAAAAUACCACAGGGAAUGGCAUGGUGAUUGGCUUCCCAGGCCGAGAUGCAGAUCCAAGACCAGCAGCUGCUGCUCACACUGAGGCAUCUGCACAGCCUCCUGGAGGAGCUUCGAGCUGAAAGCACCCACUGGGAGGACACAAGGCCCAGCAGAAGUACAUCACCUUUCCGAGAGAGGCUGGGAUCAGAGGGAAGAGCCUG